RNAcentral lists this non-coding RNA (496 nucleotides) under Oesophagostomum dentatum (nodular worm). RNAcentral's name for it is "Eukaryotic small subunit ribosomal RNA". It matches the Rfam family "Eukaryotic small subunit ribosomal RNA", at positions 616 to 1116 of the family's 1831-position model. The record is from Rfam by way of RNAcentral. Lineage: Eukaryota; Metazoa; Nematoda; Chromadorea; Rhabditida; Strongylidae.
AAGAUAAAAAUCUCGUAGUUAGAUCUGAGUCACAUGCAGUGGUUCGCCUUUGGCACUUAUCGCUAUUGUGACUAUUUGCUGCUUUUCUAUUAAUGUUUCGGCCUUUUUAAUGGCUAACGAGUUUACUUUGAAUAAAAAAUUGAAGUGCUCAGAACAGGCAUUUGCCUGAAUGCUCGAUCAUGGAACAAUAAAAGAGGCUUCGGUUCUACUUAAUGGUUCAGAAACUGAAAAAUGGCUAAGAGGGACGAUUGGGGGGAUUCGCAUCCCUGCGCGACAGGUGAAAUCCGUGGACCACAUGGUGACGCCCUGAAGUGAAAGCAUUUGAUAAGCAAUGUCUCUUCAUUAAUCAAGAACGAAAGUCAGAGGUUCAAAGGCGAUUAGAGCGAUUAGAUACCGCUCUGCCCUAGUCCUAACCUAAACUGUGCCGUCUCGUGAUGCGACGGGAUAUUUUUGCAUUGUCGAGGAGCUUCCCGUAAACGAAAGUCUUUCGGUUCCU